Molecule: ribosomal RNA, 484 nt
Filed under: uncultured bacterium
Lineage: Bacteria
Description: partial 16S ribosomal RNA
Rfam family: Bacterial small subunit ribosomal RNA
Source: RNAcentral
AUUGAACGCUGGCGGCAGGCUUAACACAUGCAAGUCGAGCGGAAGAAGGGAGCUUGUGUCUGGUUCUAGCGGCGGACGGGGGUGAAUAGCAUAGGAAUAUGCUUGGUAGUGGGUGAUAAUGUCUGCAAAAGGGUGGUAAUACUGCAUACGACGAGCGGGUGAAAGAGGGGGAUCUUCGGACCUCUUGCUAUGAGAUGAGUCUAGGUCGGGUUAGUUAGAUGGUGGGGUAAAGGCCUACCUAGGCGAGCAUUCGUAACUGGUCUGAGAGGAUGAUUAGUCACACUGGAACGUAGACACGGACCAGGCGCCUACGAGAGGCAGCAGUGGGGAAUGUUAGGCAGCAGGCGGAAGCCUGGUCCAGCCGUGCCACGUGUGUGGAAGAGAUCUUCGGAGUGUAAAGCACUUUAAGUUGGGGUGAAGGGCAGUAGGUUAAUACCUUGCUGUUUUGACGGUACCAACAGAAUAAGCACCGGCUAACUUCGUG